AGGUGCUUGCACCUUUCAAGCGAGUGGCGAACGGGUGAGUAACACGUGGAUAACCUGCCUCAAGGCUGGGGAUAACAUUUGGAAACAGAUGCUAAUACCGAAUAAAACUUAGUAUCGCAUGAUAUCAAGUUAAAAGGCGCUACGGCGUCACCUAGAGAUGGAUCCGCGGUGCAUUAGUUAGUUGGUGGGGUAAAGGCUUACCAAGACGAUGAUGCAUAGCCGAGUUGAGAGACUGAUCGGCCACAUUGGGACUGAGACACGGCCCAAACUCCUACGGGAGGCUGCAGUAGGGAAUCUUCCACAAUGGGCGCAAGCCUGAUGGAGCAACGCCGCGUGUGUGAUGAAGGCUUUCGGGUCGUAAAGCACUGUUGUAUGGGAAGAAAUGCUAAAAUAGGGAAUGAUUUUAGUUUGACGGUACCAUACCAGAAAGGGACGGCUAAAUACGUGCCAGCAGCCGCGGUAAUACGUAUGUCCCGAGCGUUAUCCGGAUUUAUUGGGCGUAAAGCGAGCGCAGACGGUUGAUUAAGUCUGAUGUGAAAGCCCGGAGCUCAACUCCGGAAUGGCAUUGGAAACUGGUUAACUUGAGUGUUGUAGAGGUAAGUGGAACUCCAUGGGUA
This 617-nucleotide ribosomal RNA is filed under the name Leuconostoc sp. RNAcentral's name for it is "bacterial SSU rRNA". It matches the Rfam family "Bacterial small subunit ribosomal RNA", at positions 74 to 677 of the family's 1533-position model. Lineage: Bacteria; Bacillati; Bacillota; Bacilli; Lactobacillales; Lactobacillaceae. The record is from RNAcentral.